Molecule: ribosomal RNA, 483 nt
Filed under: uncultured bacterium
Lineage: Bacteria
Description: partial 16S ribosomal RNA
Rfam family: Bacterial small subunit ribosomal RNA
Source: RNAcentral
GACGAACGCCGGCGGCGUGCUUAACACAUGCAAGUCGAACGAUGAAGCCGGAGCUUGCUCCGGUGGAUUAGUGGCGAACGGGUGAGUAACACGUGAGCAAUCUGCCCUUGACUCUGGGAUAACCGCGGGAAACUGUAGCUAAUACCGGAUACGACACCUUGGGGCAUCCCAGGGUGUGGAAAGAAUUUCGGUCAAGGAUGAGCUCGCGGCCUAUCAGCUAGUUGGUGAGGUAAUGGCUCACCAAGGCGACGACGGGUAGCCGGCCUGAGAGGGUGACCGGCCACACUGGAACUGAGACACGGUCCAGACUCCUACGGGAGGCAGCAGUGGGGAAUAUUGCACAAUGGGCGAAAGCCUGAUGCAGCAACGCCGCGUGAGGGAUGAAGGCCUUCGGGUUGUAAACCUCUUUUAGCAGGGAAGAAGCGAAAGUGACGGUACCUGCAGAAAAAGCACCGGCUAACUACGUGCCAGCCGCCGCAGUAA